This 454-nucleotide ribosomal RNA is filed under the name uncultured bacterium. RNAcentral describes it as "bacterial SSU rRNA". It matches the Rfam family "Bacterial small subunit ribosomal RNA", at positions 28 to 507 of the family's 1533-position model. The record is from RNAcentral.
GAUGAACGCUGGCGGCGUGCUUAACACAUGCAAGUCGAACGUGAGAAUAGCAAUAUUUGAAAGUGGCAAACGGGUGAGUAACACGUGGGAACCUGCCUCGAAGUGGGGGAUAACGAUUGGAAACGGUCGCUAAUACCGCACGGUUCUGCUCUGAUGGGAAUGGAGCAGAUAAAGAUUUAUCGCUUUGAGAGGGGCCCGCGGCCGAUUAGCUAGUUGGUAAGGUAAAGGCUUACCAAGGCGAUUAUCGGUAGCUGGUCUGAGAGGACGAUCAGCCACACGGGAACUGAGACACGGUCCCGACUCCUACGGGGGGCAGCAGUGAGGAAUAUUGGGCAAUGGGCGAAAGCCUGACCCAGCAACGCCGCGUGGAGGAUGAAGGCUUUAGGGUUGUAAAGCUCUUUUAGUAGGGAAGAUAAUGACGGUACCUACAGAAUAAGUUCCGGCUAACUUCGUG